RNAcentral lists this ribosomal RNA (447 nucleotides) under uncultured bacterium. RNAcentral describes it as "bacterial SSU rRNA". It matches the Rfam family "Bacterial small subunit ribosomal RNA", at positions 355 to 825 of the family's 1533-position model. The record is from RNAcentral.
UGGGGAAUAUUGCGCAAUGGGCGAAAGCCUGACCCAGCAACGCCGCGUGAAGGAUGAAGUAUUUCGGUAUGUAAACUUCGAAAGAAUAGGAAGAAUAAAUGACGGUACUAUUUAUAAGGUCCGGCUAACUACGUGCCAGCAGCCGCGGUAAUACGUAGGGACCAAGCGUUGUUCGGAUUUACUGGGCGUAAAGGGCGCGUAGGCGGCAAUUCAAGUCAUCUGUGAAAUCUCCGGGCUUAACUCGGAACGGUCAGAUGAUACUGCUUUGCUAGAGUGCAGAAGGGGCAAUCGGAAUUCUUGGUGUAGCGGUGAAAUGCGUAGAUAUCAAGAGGAACACCUGAGGUGAAGACGGGUUGCUGGGCUGACACUGACGCUGAGGCGCGAAAGCCAGGGGAGCAAACGGGAUUAGAUACCCGCGUAGUCCCUGAGCGGGCUGGCAAGGCGCAU